UGGUUUCCUGCAUUUGUUUCAAACUU
RNAcentral lists this non-coding RNA (26 nucleotides) under Rattus norvegicus (Norway rat). The record is from RNAcentral. Lineage: Eukaryota; Metazoa; Chordata; Mammalia; Rodentia; Muridae.